This is a long non-coding RNA of Erigeron canadensis, 266 nucleotides long. RefSeq lists it as uncharacterized. The transcript is spliced from 3 exons. The record is from RefSeq and is a predicted model, not a curated record. NCBI's taxonomy places the organism in Eukaryota, Viridiplantae, Streptophyta, Magnoliopsida, Asterales, Asteraceae.
UUCCUUCAAUCCGGCCGCCCCUCCCUCUAUUCCGGCCGAACACCACCACAAACCACCUCAAACCACCGCCGAACAACCUCAAUUCAUCACCAAUCUUCAUCUUCUUCUUUUUUUUUUAUUGAAUUCGUGGACUGUUGGACAGAUAGUGAGCUUGUUUCGAGUGUAUCUGAUUGUUCGUGUCCUUGUUCGUUGAUCUAGGAUAUUUAUACUUGUGCUGCUUUCAGGUGCUCAGGCUAAUUAGGGAUAAAGGCUGCUAUGCUAGGCUG